GAUGAACGCUGGCGGCGUGCCUAAUACAUGCAAGUCGAGCGAACGGACGAGAAGCUUGCGUCUCGGAUGUUAGCGGCGGACGGGUGAGUAACACGUGGAAAACCUACCUAUAAGACUGGGAUAACUUCGGGAAACCGGAGCUAAUACCGGAUAAUAUUUUGAACCGCAUGGUUCAAAAGUAAAAGACGGUCGUGCUGUCACUUAUAGAUGGAUCCGCGCUGCAUUAGCUAGUUGUUAAGGUAACGGCUUACGAAGGCAACGAUGCAUAGCCGACGUCAGAGGGUGAUAGGCCACCCUGGAAGUUGGACACGGACCAGACUCCUAAGCGAGGGCCCAGUAGGCUAUCUUAAGCAAUGGGCGAAAGCAUGACGCAGCAACACCGCGUGAGUGAUGACGAUCUUCGGAUCGUAAAACUCUGUUAUUAGUGAUAAACAUAUGUGUCAGUAACUGUGCACUUCUUGACGGUACCUAGUCAAAAAGCAACGGCUAACUACGUG
This 497-nucleotide ribosomal RNA is filed under the name uncultured bacterium. RNAcentral's name for it is "partial 16S ribosomal RNA". It matches the Rfam family "Bacterial small subunit ribosomal RNA", at positions 28 to 507 of the family's 1533-position model. The record is from RNAcentral.